Molecule: ribosomal RNA, 481 nt
Filed under: Planctomycetota bacterium
Lineage: Bacteria; Pseudomonadati; Planctomycetota
Description: bacterial SSU rRNA
Rfam family: Bacterial small subunit ribosomal RNA
Source: RNAcentral
CGUCAGCUCGUGUCGUGAGAUGUUGGGUUAAGUCCCGCAACGAGCGCAACCCCUGCACUUAGUUGCCAGCGAGUCAUGUCGGGCACUCUAAGUGGACUGCCUCGGAUAACGGGGAGGAAGGUGGGGAUGACGUCAAGUCAGCAUGGCCUUUAUGUCCAGGGCUACACACGUGCUACAAUGGGCGGUACAGAGGGAUGCAAAGCCGCAAGGUGGAGCCAAUCCCUAAAACCGUCCUCAGUUCAGAUUGCAGGCUGCAACUCGCCUGCAUGAAGGCGGAAUCGCUAGUAAUCGCGGAUCAGCUACGCCGCGGUGAAUACGUUCUCGGGCCUUGUACACACCGCCCGUCACAUCACGAAAGCUGGUCGUGCCCGAAGUCGCUGUGCUAACCGCAAGGGGGCAGGCGCCUAAGGUAUGGUCGGUGAUUGGGGUGAAGUCGUAACAAGGUAGCCGUACGGGAACGUGCGGCUGGAUCACCUCCUUU